UACGGAGGGUGCAAGCGUUAUCCGGAUUUAUUGGGUUUAAAGGGUGUGUAGGUGGACCUUUAAGUCAGUGGUGAAAUCCUGCAGCUUAACUGUAGAACUGCCAUUGAAACUGAAGGUCUUGAGUAUAGACGAGGUAGGCGGAAUGAGUUAUGUAGCGGUGAAAUGCAUAGAUAUAACUCAGAACACCGAUUGCGAAGGCAGCUUACUAGACUAUUACUGACACUGAUGCACGAAAGCGUGGGUAGCGAAC
This 250-nucleotide ribosomal RNA is filed under the name uncultured bacterium. RNAcentral's name for it is "partial 16S ribosomal RNA". It matches the Rfam family "Bacterial small subunit ribosomal RNA", at positions 524 to 773 of the family's 1533-position model. The record is from RNAcentral.